Molecule: long non-coding RNA, 266 nt
Filed under: Lathyrus oleraceus (garden pea)
Lineage: Eukaryota; Viridiplantae; Streptophyta; Magnoliopsida; Fabales; Fabaceae
Description: Pisum sativum (pea) long non-coding RNA (PSAT_LNC022292)
Source: RNAcentral
UUAAUACAUGCUAGAGAACUGAUAUAUAAAUCAUUCUCCUAAAGCUAUGUCACACAAAAAAAAAGAAUGGAUCAAGCACAAAGGCUAUGAGAGUAGUCCAUUAAUUCAAUCCAUACUUUAUGAUACCUAGGACAAACUUAUGCAUCAACCCAAAGUACCUUAAAUGAUCCAUGAUCAAUUAGGAGGAAGAUUUGAAAUGAUGAAAGUUCAUCAAGUACCAACUCAUACAUCAUGAACAAGAUGGACUCACACCAUCCAAUUGAUCA